CAAAAACAAACGCUCCUCCUCUGCCAAGCCAAAAACCCCCACGAAUGCUCCUCCUUUGCCAAAACCCCCUGAAACGAUCCUCUGCCGAAACCCACCACCAAAAUGCAUGAAACCCUAACUCCUCCGCCGAAACCCACUGCCUCCCCGAAAACUCAUCUCAACGAAAAACCUAGCCUCCAAAACUCAUCUCUGCAAAAUCCCUCCUCCACCCCAAAACCCAUCUAUGCCAAUGGCGACAGCCGCGACGGUUUCUUCCCCGGCAAUCUUCCCUCUCCAAUCCUUCGCCAGGAAUGGCCCUUCCCGAGCUCCUCACGUCUCUUUCAACGUCUCACUCAUCCGUUCACCUUGCUUUCCCGUUUCUUCCAAGAAGCACAGGGCAAUGACUGUAGUUGGAGCUCUACCGAGGCUGGCUCCUGUGCUCCCAGAAAAGGGAUUUGGUCAAUUAGAGGGCUCCAGAGUAUGCAAUGAGAGGUUACUUGACAGACAAAGCAAUGUAUAUGGUUUUGGUGUGGUGACAUUAGAAAUUGUCAGUGGAUGAGCAACACUAAUUAUAGGCCCAAGGAGGAAUUUGUUUAUUUUCUUGAUUGGCUUAUGUUUUGCAAGAGCAUGGAAAUUUGCUUGAAUUAGUUGACCAAAGUCUUGACUCCAACUACUCAAAGGAGAAAGCACUGCAAAUGUUGGAACUGUCUCUUGCUUGCACCGACCUCUCCCCAAUGCUUAGGCCUGCAAUGUCAUCACUUGGUGGAAACUCUUGAAUAUCUAAUGUUGCCCUAUCAUUAACUUCUUUUCUCCAGGAAUUUGAAGCAUUUGUUGGCUUGUUACUACUACGUACAACUAUUGUUGGUGUAACCUGAGAGUGGCAGGCAAAAGCUCUGUGCAAACUUGUUUCUUUGAUCAAAUGCACCUUAUA
This is an RNA transcript of Zingiber officinale, 910 nucleotides long. RefSeq lists it as uncharacterized. NCBI's taxonomy places the organism in Eukaryota, Viridiplantae, Streptophyta, Magnoliopsida, Zingiberales, Zingiberaceae. The transcript is spliced from 4 exons. The record is from RefSeq and is a predicted model, not a curated record.